GGAAUGUGCUGCUGUCGUCAACAGACUGAGGAUUAAUGGACAAAUACUUCUGAGCCUGUCCGACAGUGACAUGAACCAGUUCAGUCUCAUCCACCGACCGCAGCUUCAAAAGAUUGUCCAAGACAUCAAGAAGAAUGAUGGCAGCUUGCUGAACAAACUGAGGAGGCUGAAGAGCAAGCCGCUUCCAAAAGUGCCUGCGAGAGAUUACAGAGAUGACAGGGAAGAUGGUGAACUGUCUGAUACGG
Molecule: long non-coding RNA, 245 nt
Filed under: Cyclopterus lumpus (lumpfish)
Lineage: Eukaryota; Metazoa; Chordata; Actinopteri; Perciformes; Cyclopteridae
Description: lncRNA (ENSCLMG00005022077.1)
Source: RNAcentral